RNAcentral lists this long non-coding RNA (486 nucleotides) under Durio zibethinus. Its description in RNAcentral is "long non-coding RNA (DZIB_LNC000675)". The record is from RNAcentral. Lineage: Eukaryota; Viridiplantae; Streptophyta; Magnoliopsida; Malvales; Malvaceae.
CCUUGUGGAGGCUUGUGGGGUGGCACUUUUGGAGGCUUUUCUCCCUUAGCCUUGGGUGGUAUCUGAAAUUUUGGUCCCUCGUGUUUGUCCUCAACAUUCUCACCUAGGAGGCGUCUGUGAGGAGGUUUUUCUCCAUGUGAUGGCUCUUUUCCCUUACCCUUUGGUGGUUUGUGUUCCGGUAAUGGCUUGUGUUCUGGUGGUUUCUCACCAGGGAAUGGCUUUUUGGGUGGUUUACCAUUUGAGAAUCUUGAUAGUUCAUGUUCAUGUGGAGGCUUUUCUCCCUUACCCUUGGGUGGUUUAAAACCUGGGGUUUUUGGCGGUUUGUGUGUGUCCUCAACAUCCUCACUUAAGAGGCGUCUGUGAGGAGGUUUUCCCCCAUGUGGUGGCUCCUUUCCCUUACCCUUUGAUGGUUUGUUUUCCGGUAAUGGCUUGUGUUCUGGUGGUUUCUCACCAGGGAAUGGCUUUUUGGGUGGUUCACCAUUUUGG